This 1623-nucleotide long non-coding RNA is filed under the name Anser cygnoides (Swan goose). RNAcentral describes it as "lncRNA (ENSACDG00005007961.1)". The record is from RNAcentral. Lineage: Eukaryota; Metazoa; Chordata; Aves; Anseriformes; Anatidae.
AUGGGUGCAUGUCCCCGCACGUGUCCCCGCGGCCCCUCAAGGCCGGUGGCCACCAGCCGGCCCCGCAGGGCACGGCCGGGGAAUGUCACCGCAGGGCACGGCCAGGGAAUGUCACCGCAGGGCCGGCCGGGCCGGCUCAGCCACCCUGAGUCACCGGUCCCCCCGCUUGGGCCGCGGGCGCUGGCGUCACCCCGGCAGGAUGGGGCUGAGUCACUUCCUUCCAGCAACGGGGCCGGGGCCACGCGGGUGUGCGUGCGGGAACGGGGCCGGGGCCGGUGCCGCCCCGGUGGGACGCCCCGGUGGGACGCGCCGCACGCCGCCCCAGCGCCUCCCGCACCCGCCUGCCCCCGUGCUGAGGACAGCGCGCUCCUGCAGGGUCCCGCCAUGGCCACGCUGUUGACACCGCCGGCGCUGCCGGUGCUGGUCCUGCUGGUGCUGCCCAGCUGGGGGGCGGCUGCCGGGACCCCCCCGGGCGACGCCGAGCCGCUGGAGGCCCUCGGGGCCCUGCUGUCGUCGGGCACCGGCUCCCUGCCCCGUGGAGCCGUGGAGUCCCUCGUGGGCACCGCCGCGGCCCGUGCGCACUGCGGUGCCGGGCCGUGCGGAAAGGUAAGCGCCGCGCCGCCGGGCCGUGUGGAAAGGCAGGGCGGGCGCCACGGGUCAAACUCCGGCACGGCACGGCGCGGCGCGGCACGGCGCGGGGUGGCGUGGCGCCACACAGCACCCUGCUGCGGGGCUCGGCACGGCUCGGCACGGCACGGCUUGGGUUGGCACGGCACGGCUCCUGCUGCCCCACGGCGGCCCCACGCUGAACGAUGUCCCCUCUGGCACCCACCCCGGUCCCUGCUGUGGGGCAGGGGGCGCCGUGGGUGCAGGGGGAGGCGCUGCUGGGUGCGGGGGUCCCGCUGCCCCACGGGGUGCGUGGGGGGUUCUGACCCACGGGGCGGCCCCCAGGUGCACACAGCGCUGUGCCAAGCGGUGCCAAGUGGUGCUGUGCCACACGGUGCUGUGCUGUGCCGUGCCGUGCCAUGCCAUGCCGUGCCGUGCCAUGCCAUGCCAUGCCAUGCCGUGCCGUGCCAAGCCGUGCCGUGCCGUGCCGUGCCGUGCGCAGCGUGUGCCCGCUGCGUGUGCACCCCAGUGCCGGGUGCCACCGGCACACCCCACAGCCAAACCCGCGUGUGGGGCACGUGGGGGUGCAGCGUGCGAAGCGCGGGCACCGUGCGUGCCCCACGCACACCCCACACACCCCACGCACACCCCACGUGUGCCAGGCUCUGCGCCGUGGGGCUCUGGGUGCCCAGCGGGUCCCAGGGGCUCCGUGUGGGGCUGGGGGCCUGGCGGGCUUCUGGGGGGGGGUGAGGGCCCCUGGGGGUGCAGGGCCAGCCCCACAGCCCUGUCCCCAUGUCCCCAUCCCCCUGUCCCUAUGGCCCCAUGUCUGUGUCCCCAUAUCCACACAGCCCUGUCCCCCACAUCCCCAUGUCCCUGUCCCCACGUCCCUGUCCCCAUGUCCCCCUGUCCCCACAUCCCUUUCCCGUACCCACGUCUGUCCCCCCGUCCCCACAUCCCUGUCCCAACAUCCAACCCCCUGUCCCCGUGGCCCUAUCCUCACACCCCUGUCCCUACGUC